CGCUGGCGGCGUGCCUAAUACAUGCAAGUCGAACGGUCUUUCUAUGGAAGCUUGCUUCCACUGAGAAGAUAGUGGCGAACGGGUGAGUAACACGUGGGUAACCUGCCCAUAAGAGGGGGGAUAACAUCCGGAAACGGGUGCUAAUACCGCAUAGUUUUCUUGAUCGCAUGAUCGGAAGGAAAGACGGCCUUUGUGCUGUCGCUUAUGGAUGGACCCGCGGCGUAUUAGUUAGUUGGUGAGGUAACGGCUCACCAAGACGAUGAUACGUAGCCGACCUGAGAGGGUGAUCGGCCACAUUGGACUGAGACACGGCCCAAACUCCUACGGGAGGCAGCAGUAGGGAAUCUUCCGCAAUGGACGAAAGUCUGACGGAGCAACGCCGCGUGAGUGAAGAAAAGGUUUUCGGAUCGUAAAACUCUGUUGUCAGAGAAGAACAAGUUGGAGAGUAACUGCUCCAGCCUUGACGGUAUCUGACCAGAAAGCCACGGCUAACUACGUGCCAGCCGCCGC
RNAcentral lists this ribosomal RNA (510 nucleotides) under uncultured bacterium. RNAcentral describes it as "bacterial SSU rRNA". It matches the Rfam family "Bacterial small subunit ribosomal RNA", at positions 34 to 518 of the family's 1533-position model. The record is from RNAcentral.